Molecule: ribosomal RNA, 288 nt
Filed under: Roholtiella edaphica KZ-5-4-5
Lineage: Bacteria; Bacillati; Cyanobacteriota; Cyanophyceae; Nostocales; Fortieaceae
Description: 16S-23S ribosomal RNA intergenic spacer
Source: RNAcentral
UUAGGGAGACCUAAUCCACUCAAAGCUCGAAAAACAAUCAGUUAAAUAGAUAUUGAGUUGGUCUAUCCUAGGUCGGUCGAGAUUGGUAAAAGCUUUCAAAGUAUUUUGAGUUCGGUUUAACAAUCAUAAAAACUAUUGAGAAUAGUGUUCAGCAAUAUGGCAAUUGCCAGACUGCUGGAUAUUUUCCAGCCAGAACCUUGAAAACUGCAUAGUAACGCGAAAAAAGCAGGCAGACACAGACAUUCAAGUAGUGAAUGUGUUUGCAGUGGUGAACACCAAAUGUAUAGU